AGAAUCAACGCUGGCGGCGUGCCUAACACAUGCAAGUCGCACGAGAAAGGGGAGCAAUCCCUGAGUAAAGUGGCGCACGGGUGAGUAACACGUGAAUCAUCUACCUCCGAAUGGGGAAUAACUGAGAGAAAUCUUAGCUAAUACCGCAUAAUACCUACGGGUCAAAGCAGCAAUGCGUUUGGAGAGGAGUUCGCGGUCGAUUAGUUAGUUGGCGGGGUAAUGGCCCACCAAGACGAUGAUCGAUAUCCGGCCUGAGAGGGCGCACGGACACACUGGAACUGAAACACGGUCCAGACUCCUACGGGAGGCAGCAGUGGGGAAUUUUGCGCAAUGGGGGAAACCCUGACGCAGCAACGCCGCGUGGAGGAUGAAAUAUCUUGGUAUGUAAACUCCUUUCGAUGGGGAAGAUAAUGACGGUACCAUAGAAGAAGCCCGGCUAACUUCGCGCCAGCAGCCGC
This 458-nucleotide ribosomal RNA is filed under the name uncultured bacterium. RNAcentral describes it as "SSU rRNA". It matches the Rfam family "Bacterial small subunit ribosomal RNA", at positions 26 to 518 of the family's 1533-position model. The record is from RNAcentral.